GGUUCUAUAGUGUAGUGGUCAUCAAAUCUGCUUUACACGCAGAAAGUCUUGGGUUCAAUCCCCAGUGGAACCA
This 73-nucleotide transfer RNA is filed under the name Ameiurus melas (black bullhead). It matches the Rfam family "tRNA". Rfam says of the family: Transfer RNA (tRNA) molecules are approximately 80 nucleotides in length. Their secondary structure includes four short double-helical elements and three loops (D, anti-codon, and T loops). The record is from Rfam by way of RNAcentral. Lineage: Eukaryota; Metazoa; Chordata; Actinopteri; Siluriformes; Ictaluridae.